RNAcentral lists this ribosomal RNA (447 nucleotides) under uncultured bacterium. RNAcentral describes it as "partial 16S ribosomal RNA". It matches the Rfam family "Bacterial small subunit ribosomal RNA", at positions 330 to 793 of the family's 1533-position model. The record is from RNAcentral.
CCCAGACUCCUACGGGAGGCAGCAGUGGGGGAUAUUGCACAAUGGGGGGAACCCUGAUGCAGCGACGCCGCGUGGGUGAAGGAGCGUUUCGGCGCGUAAAGCCCUAUCGGCAGGGAAGAAGGAGGACGGUACCUGACUAAGAAGCCCCGGCUAACUACGUGCCAGCAGCCGCGGUAAUACGUAGGGGGCAAGCGUUAUCCGGAUUUACUGGGUGUAAAGGGGGCGCAGACGGCAGCGCAAGCCAGGAGUGAGAGCCCGGGGCCCAACCCCGGGACUGCUCUUGGAACUGCGCGGCUGGAGUGCAGGAGGGGCAGGCGGAAUUCCUGGUGUAGCGGUGAAAUGCGUAGAUAUCAGGAGGAACACCGGUGGCGAAGGCGGCCUGCUGGACUGCGACUGACGUUGAGGCCCGAAAGCGUGGGGAGCAAACAGGAUUAGAUACCCUAGUAA